UUAUUGGUAGGUUAUUUAAACUGACAAAUUGUGGUUUUGUUGAAUACAAUUUUUGUACCAGUAAA
RNAcentral lists this transfer RNA (65 nucleotides) under Fimbriaria fasciolaris. RNAcentral describes it as "tRNA-His". The record is from RNAcentral. Lineage: Eukaryota; Metazoa; Platyhelminthes; Cestoda; Cyclophyllidea; Hymenolepididae.